This 514-nucleotide ribosomal RNA is filed under the name uncultured bacterium. RNAcentral describes it as "partial 16S ribosomal RNA". It matches the Rfam family "Bacterial small subunit ribosomal RNA", at positions 28 to 523 of the family's 1533-position model. The record is from RNAcentral.
GACGAACGCUGGCGGCGUGCCUAAUACAUGCAAGUCGAGCGCGAGAAUGAGGAGCUUGCUCCUCAUAAUCGAGCGGCGGACGGGUGAGUAACACGUAGGCAACCUACCCUUGAGAUUGGGAUAACUACCGGAAACGGUAGCUAAUACCGGAUACGACUUUUCCACACAAGUGGAAUUGUUAAAAGGCGGAUUUAUCUGCCGCUCAUGGAUGGGCCUGCGGUGCAUUAGCUAGUUGGUGAGGUAGUGGCUCACCAAGGCGACGAUGCAUAGCCGACGUGAGGGGGUGGUAGGCCAAGCUGGGGCUGAGACACGGCCCAGACUCCUACGGGAGGCAGCAGUAGGGAAUCUUCCGCAAUGGACGCAAGUCUGACGGAGCAACGCCGCGUGAGUGAAGAAGGGUUUCGGCUCGUAAAACUCUGUUGUUAAGGAAGAACGCCAGGUAGAGUAACUGCUACCUGUGUGACGGUACUUAACCAGAAAGCCACGGCUAACUACGUGCCAGCCGCCGCAGUAA